GGUGUGUUUUACCUGAAGCCGGUGCGCUAACCGCAAGGAGGCAGCCGCCACGGUAGGGUCAGCGACUGGGGUG
This 73-nucleotide ribosomal RNA is filed under the name uncultured bacterium. Its description in RNAcentral is "partial 16S ribosomal RNA". The record is from RNAcentral.